Cygnus olor (mute swan) is the source of this 198-nucleotide long non-coding RNA. RefSeq lists it as uncharacterized. The transcript has 3 exons. NCBI's taxonomy places the organism in Eukaryota, Metazoa, Chordata, Aves, Anseriformes, Anatidae. The record is from RefSeq and is a predicted model, not a curated record.
GAAAUUAGCAGAUCUUACUUCUCAGAAAGAGUUGUCAGGCAUUGGAAUGGGUUGCCCAGGGAAGUGUUGGAGGCACCGUCCCUGGGAGUGCUUAAGGACAGGUUGUAUGUGGUGCUUAGGGACAUGGUUUAGUGGGCGACAUUGGUACUAGGGUGAUGGUUGGACCAGGUGAUCCUGGAGAUCUUUUCCAACCUUAGU